GUGUGUGGCACCUCCCCCUUCUCUCUCUCUUUCUCCUGCUCCAGGCAUGUGAAGUGCCUGCAUCCCCUUUGCCUUCUGCCAUGAUUGGAAGCUUCCUGAGGCCUCUACAGAAGCAGAAGCCACUAUGCUUCCUGUACAACUUGGCAGAACCAUGAGCCAAUUAAACCUCUUUUCUUUAUCAGUUACCCAGUCUCAGGUAUUUCUUUAGAGCAGUGUGAGAAUGGAUUAAUACACCCAUUCUAAGCCAACUGGUUUGCUAUGGCUCCUGUAACUAAGUACCACAGAUUGGGUGGCUUAAGCAACAGAAAUUGCUUGUCUUGCAGUUGUAGAAGUUAGAAGUCUGAGACAAAAGUGUCCAUAGCAUUGGUUCCUUUUGAAGGCUAUGAGAGAAGGAUCCAUUCCUGGCCUCUCUCCUUGACUUAUAGAUGGGCGUUGUCUUCCUUUAUCUUCCUAUCAUCUUCCCUCUGUGUCUGUGUCUGUGUCCACAUUUUCUCCUCUAAGAACACCACUCAUAUUGGAUAAAAGCCCACACUAAUGACCUCAUUUGAAUUUAAUUGCCUCUUAAAGAUCUGUGUUCCCUCAAUGACCAAUGUCCCCUUAAAAACUGUGUCCUCUCAAAAAUCCGUAUGCACCUCAGAAUGUGGCCACAUAUGAAGACACAGUUCAGCCUAAGACAACCUUCAUUGUUUUAAACCACUGAGAUUUGGGUGCUGCCUGUUACCACAGAGUAACCCAGACUACCCUGACUGACACAAAGAAGCAAUCACAGGUAGAUGCGAAAAGACAGUUUCUUCCAGUCGCAUUUAUGACCCUAUUAAAAAUGACACCAGGGACUUUAUUUUAAAGACAGCUAUGUGUGUCACAGCCAUGAAUAAAUUAGCCACCAGCAGUAUUCUUAGAGUGGAAUAACAUUAUUUUUUUCAGUUUAGGAGGCUGAGGCCAGAGAAAAUGAAAGUCUCUUCCUGAGCAAACAGGAAGACGCUGGUCUGAGACGACUCCCAGUCAGGGGCGUUGCCUGGUGCCUUCCUGCCUCCCUGGGAUCCAACAUGGCGCCUGUCACCCAGACCAACUUCCUCCCCUCAGGCUUCCCUGCGGGUGUCAGACUUGUCAGGGACCCCCAGAGCUGUCAGGCCUCCUUGUCUGCUAUGAACUCGGGACGCCUCUUGCUCACCGAGGCGUUAUCCUUCAACUAGUGACAGGUUAAUUCCUUAAUCACCUGUUUGAGUUUUCCCUCUGCCUACCAGGCCUCACUUCCUAUUUCCUUGUGGUUCCUUGUGGUUUACUUCUUCCCCUGGGCAGGUCCUUCAGACUCUGAGGAGGAAAAUACCCUCUGUGUUAGUUUCUGUGAUUGCUGUAACAAAUUAUCACAAACCAACUUGGUGACUUAAAAGAAGUUUAUUCUCCCUGGAGGCCGGAAGUUCCACAUCAAGGCGCCAGUAAGGCCACGCCUCCUCUGUGAGCACUAGGGGAGGAUCCUUCCUGCCACUCCCAGCUUUUGGUGGCGGCUCCAGCAAGUCCUUGGCUUUGCUCCAUGCAUCACACUAAACUCCGUCUCCAUCUUCAAAUGGCUUCUCCGCUCCAUCUCAAACCUCCCUCUGCUUUUCUCUUAAAAGGACACUUGUUAAGGUUGGGUGGGUGGAUCACUCUUAUAAUCCCAGCACUUUGGGAGACCAAGGCAGGAGAAUCCCUUGAGCCUAGGAGCUCAAGACCAGCCUGGGCAACAUGGCAAGACCCCAUCUCUACUAAAAAUACAAAAAUUAGUCAUGGUGUGGUGGUGUGGGCCUAUAGUCCCAGCUACCCAGGAGGCUGAAGUAGAAGAUCACCUGAUCCCAGGAGAUCGAGGCUGGAGUGAGCUGUGGUCAUGCCACUGCCCUUCAGCCUAGACAGCAGAGUAAGACCCUAUCUAAAAAAAAAAAAAAAAAAAAAAAAAAAAAAA
RNAcentral lists this long non-coding RNA (1936 nucleotides) under Macaca fascicularis (crab-eating macaque). RNAcentral describes it as "lncRNA (ENSMFAG00000065142.1)". The record is from RNAcentral. Lineage: Eukaryota; Metazoa; Chordata; Mammalia; Primates; Cercopithecidae.